This 484-nucleotide ribosomal RNA is filed under the name uncultured bacterium. Its description in RNAcentral is "partial 16S ribosomal RNA". It matches the Rfam family "Bacterial small subunit ribosomal RNA", at positions 30 to 507 of the family's 1533-position model. The record is from RNAcentral.
AUUGAACGCUGGCGGCAGGCCUAACACAUGCAAGUCGAGCGGAUGAAGGGAGCUUGCUCCUGGAUUCAGCGGCGGACGGGUGAGUAAUGCCUCGGCAUCUGCCUGGUAGUGGGGGAUAACGUCCGGAAACGGGCGCUAAUACCGCAUACGUCCUGAGGGAGAAAGUGGGGGAUCUUCGGACCUCACGCUAUCAGCUGAUCCUAGGUCGGAUUAGCUAGUUGUUGGGGUAAAGGCCUACCAAGCCGACGAUCCGUAACUGGUCUGAGAGGAUGAUCAGUCACACUGGAACUGAGACACGGUCCAGACUCCUACGGGAGGCAGCAGUGGGGAAUAGCGGACAAUGGGCGAAAGCAUGAUCCAGCCAUGCCGCGUGUGUGAAGAAGGUCUUCGGAUUGUAAAGCACUUUAAGUUGGGAGGAAGGGCAGUAAGUGAAUACCUUGCUGUUUUGACGUUACCAACAGAAUAAGCACCGGCUAACUUCGUG